Transfer RNA from Camelus ferus (Wild Bactrian camel), 72 nucleotides. It matches the Rfam family "tRNA". From Rfam's summary of the family: Transfer RNA (tRNA) molecules are approximately 80 nucleotides in length. Their secondary structure includes four short double-helical elements and three loops (D, anti-codon, and T loops). The record is from Rfam. NCBI's taxonomy places the organism in Eukaryota, Metazoa, Chordata, Mammalia, Artiodactyla, Camelidae.
GAGGUUAUAGCUCAGUGGUAGAGCGCAUGCUUAGCAUGCACGAGGUCCUGGGUUCAAUCCCCAGUACCUCCA